This 253-nucleotide ribosomal RNA is filed under the name uncultured bacterium. RNAcentral describes it as "partial 16S ribosomal RNA". It matches the Rfam family "Bacterial small subunit ribosomal RNA", at positions 524 to 776 of the family's 1533-position model. The record is from RNAcentral.
UACGUAGGGUGCAAGCAUUAAUCGGAAUUAUUGGGCGUAAAGGGCGCGUAGGCGGUAAGGGAAGUCAGAUGUGAAAUUUCGGGGCUCAACCUCGGAGCUGCAUUUGAAACUCCCGGACUAGAGGGUUGGCGGAGAAAAUGGAAUUCCACGUGUAGCGGUGAAAUGCGUAGAUAUGUGGAAGAACACCAGUGGCGAAAGCGAUUUUCUAGCUAAUACCUGACGCUGAGGCGCGAGAGCAAGGGGAGCAAACAGG